GACGAACGCUGGCGGCGUGCCUAAUACAUGCAAGUCGAGCGGAAUGAAGAAGAAGCUUGCUUCUUCUGAUUUUAGCGGCGGACGGGUGAGUAACACGUGGGCAACCUACCUUGUAGAUUGGGAUAACUCCGGGAAACCGGGGCUAAUACCGAAUAAUCCAUUCUGCUUCAUGGCGAGAUGUUGAAAGACGGUUUCGGCUGUCACUACAAGAUGGGCCCGCGGCGCAUUAGCUAGUUGGUAGGGUAAUGGCCUACCAAGGCGACGAUGCGUAGCCGACCUGAGAGGGUGAUCGGCCAUACUGGGACUGAGACACGGCCCAGACUCCUACGGGAGGCAGCAGUAGGGAAUCUUCCACAAUGGACGAAAGUCUGAUGGAGCAACGCCGCGUGAGUGAAGAAGGUUUUCGGAUCGUAAAACUCUGUUGUAAGGGAAGAACACGUACGAGAGUAACUGCUCGUACCUUGACGGUACCUUAUUAGAAAGCCACGGCUAACUCCGUG
RNAcentral lists this ribosomal RNA (500 nucleotides) under uncultured bacterium. RNAcentral's name for it is "bacterial SSU rRNA". It matches the Rfam family "Bacterial small subunit ribosomal RNA", at positions 28 to 507 of the family's 1533-position model. The record is from RNAcentral.